CAAACAAAAAAACAUUUUAUUCAAAUCUUGGGAUAUCGCCGAUUCACUACUUUUAUCGCUGUUUGAACUACUUUUUUUUAAUUAAAUAAUAUUUUCAACACAUAUUAGAAAUUUUACUGUACUAAUUUGGUUUAAAAUUGCCGACUUUCAGAAACCAUAAACGACUUAGUUAAAACUGUCCAACAAAACAGUGAGGCAAUUAUGUCCGCAUUUGCCGAAAUAAAGGUAGUCACAACAAGAAACUUCAAUCAGUACCGCUACAAAUGACUUUCCAAUAUCGUCUGAAAAAAUGUUGCAAACCAUGGAGGAAAAAAUCACUUGUGACAACCGAGAUAUUUACGUCUCUACAAUGAGCAAGCUGUGGCGAAACUGUGUCGGAAAAAAUAUAGAGAAUAUACUGGAUUCUAAAGUCAUAAUGGAUUUUAAUGUAGACGGUACUCAUGGAAAACGCUCUUAAAGGAAAUAUAAAAAUUUCUACAAAGCUUUAAUUGGUAAGUGGAAUAUUUUAACGGAAAAAAUGUGGAACAGCUACUACGCCAGGCAAUGCAAUUAUGCAAAAAGAAGCAAUUCAGAAAGAAUUCUGAAAAUAAAAAGAUCGAGCUAGAGUCAACAGAAAAUAUUGAUGUGAAUUAAAUUUUGGUAUUAAUUUUUGAGUGAAUUAUUUUUUAUUUUUAUUUUUUAUACAUACAUCAAAUGUGGAUAUGGAUUUUUAAUUUAAUUUUUUAAUAUGAAUUUAUAUUACUUUUU
This is a long non-coding RNA of Musca vetustissima, 747 nucleotides long. RefSeq lists it as uncharacterized. The record is from RefSeq and is a predicted model, not a curated record. The transcript is spliced from 3 exons. NCBI's taxonomy places the organism in Eukaryota, Metazoa, Arthropoda, Insecta, Diptera, Muscidae.